UGUGUACAUCAGUCCGGAGCUGAGGUGUCUCUCCGACUUCCUCCGAGGGCAGAGCUGCUUACGGGUCUGUGCAGAUAAUGAGACUGCUGAGGGAAAGGAGAGGAUAUUCAGCACGGAAACCAGCCUUGGGCCAGAUCUCCCUCCUCAUCUAACCAGAGGGCUAGCGUGGAAAGGUGCUGCCGAGCUCCGCGGUAGGUCUGGCUCGGCUGGUCGGCGGAGGCGAAGCGGUGGCGAGAGACUCCCGCGCCCCGACGGGAAGCCUGGAACAGUCUGGUCUUGCCCACGGGAGCCCACCGUCUUCAGGACCCUCCUGGGCAGAGCUGGCUCCACCGUGGUGCUUUUGUACCGCAGAGCAUCUGCUUUCAAAGAGCUUCGGCCUCUUUGGCACGCCUCUCGCGGCCAGUCUGGGAGAGCUUUCGUCGUCUAACGCGGACGAGCUGCCGCUGAGUCUAACGCUGCCUUUCAGUGGGUUUCUUAUCUCCAGUUGGUCCAGAGAAGGUUUUGUUUCAUAUUGCUGCUGGCAAGCUGUAUUUCACAGCUUAGAGCAAUGGGAGCUCCCUUCGUGCAGUCUGCUGAGCCCUGCUGCCCCACGGCCCCGUUUAGGGUAAUCCCCCGAGUUACCUAGACUUUACAGAGAGGCCCGCGUGGCAAAGGAUGCUAGAGACACAGAGCCAAUGGCUUCUUCUGAACUUGAAAAGCCGUAAAGCUCUUCCAGCUUCAGAUUAGUGCAACUAAACCAGACGACUGUCCUUUCUCAUACAUCAAGCAAAGCCAUGCUGCACUCCACGCAUUAAGCCGGGCGGAAAUUGCUCUUCCUCGUUUCUGUCGAUACGCAAGCUACGUACAUUUUUCCUUUUGUAAAAUCCUCAAGGAUAGGGAGGUAGAAACACUGCUCCAUUUUAUGGGAAAAUAAAAGGCAGCAGGGAUGCAAAAGAGCUGUUGGACUUAGGAACUGAGUCUAAACCUUCUGAAUGCUCUUCAGUGCCUUAGCAAGAUGUCCUACCUCUUGAAGAAGAUACUAAUGGAUAUGUAGCAUCAAAAAUGAUUUACAAACCUAUUGUAAACGUGCCUAUUCAGACAAACCAGUGCUGAGGCUAUUGCUCAAUCCUAUUUUUAGAAGCACUAGCAGUCUGUUUUCGUUUUACAAAGAUGGUCCUCUUCUUAGUCUCAGAAAGCAUCAGCUUCGUGAAAGCCUCAGCUAUGAAAUGAGUAGUAAAUUUUCAUACACCUUUCCCCUCGUAUUUUUCAGGGAAUUGGUUAUGUUGCCCAAGGAAACAAAAAGGUUAAAAACAAAGGAGAAGCAAUAAACUAAGACUCAGAUUCUUGUCUAGAGGAAUAAAGCUGACCCAAACCUUUGCCAGAAUUACAGCUUCGCCCUGAGAUUAACACUUCUGCCCUUUGACUACAUAAACGCAGCUGUCACAGCCUCAUCUGCAGUCGAAGCACCCUCAAAGAGCAUCAUGCUAACUAGGAACUGGAUGCUGAAAUUACGGCGUCCUCGAGGGGUCCCCUACUCCAUCGCUGCUAAGGCAAAAUCAGCUAGACCGAACGUCUGCUGGAAAUGGGCCCGUUCUCAUGGGUCAUGUUUUCUGGAUGGCUGCUCCUGCCUAUGCUCUUCUAUGGUCCACGUUUUUGCCUUGUGCUGCCUUAAUUUGGUCUAGUAUUUAUCUGGGGCCUUGCCAGGAGCACAUAUAUUGGAAAGACUGCUUUGUUUCUUGCUGAUGAUACGUAAGCUGCAAUAAUCCUGCGGGGAUUUUUUCUGCAUGUUAUCAAAGACAAAUUGUUCAAAUUUUGAUCCCAUUGUAAGGGCCAGCCUACUUCUUGCACAGAAGCUGGAGUCAGCAUUAGAGAUUUAAGUUAAGUGGUGUUUUUUCGUGUUACCUAAGACAUUUUUGCUUUGGACUGAGAAUAUAAUUAGUUCCACAGUUAUCACUAAACUAAUGGAAUGUUUCUGCCUAGGUUAGCAGAAAUGUUUAAGUGGCUAGUCCCCUUACAGCUCCCAAAUGCCUGUAAUUUGUGGUCCUCCCUCACGGAGGAUUUGGAUGCAACUCCAAACUGCAGUGGAGAUUCCACCCCACUGCCUUUGACUGCUUUCAGCUCAUUCCCUACAUCUUCGGUUUAAUUUGAUCUAACUAUAGCUUGCUGGCAAAUGACAAUUCAUAGUUAGAUGAUUUUCAAAGUCUAAUUGCUCCAGAUUCUUCUCAGUACUUCAGUAUUUCUUAAUUGUAUUAGCCAAGGUGAGGAUAAUUGCUGCUUUCAUAUCCCUGAAACUUCUCAUACAAAGGAGGAUUAUGCAAGAAUAUGCUCAUUCUCUCCAAUAAAUGAUCCCUCUGUUAUUAGGGAGUGUGUGCGGAGGGACUGCUGGGAAGCAUUCCACCGAACCAUUAUGUACUAGAACAAAACCUGAGACUUGCAGAUACAAGACUAAAUUAUAGUCUGGGGCAAUCAUCAGAAUACACUUAUUUUCUGGAGGUUGUUCUUUCAGAAGAUGAAUGAGCCCCAAAUCUACAAAUAACCCAGUAUUUUGCAUAUUGGGGAUCCUCCGAGUGGGCAAAAAUCUCCUAUUUAUAGGUCUCUGGUAUUUUGGCAUUGCUACUGGUCGUGAUACCAACAUGGUCCUGAUUAAAACUACUAGUCUGUGCCAACCAGUGGCCUUUUAUCUUUUGCUUUGUUCCUGAACUCCUGGGCUGCUGGGCCUUUUCGCUCCCCUGGCCUGUUUAGCUUCAGGUGCUUAAGCUGUAUCCAGGGCUCCUAGACCUCUGGGUACUGUAGCUGUGUGCUUGUACGUGAAGUGCAAUAAAGUCACUCCAGCAGAGAAUUAGACAUAAUGUUCUCCCUUAAGCUCCAGCAAUUAAAUAUAAACAUACGCAUGCACAAUAAAAUGCCAUGUUUCACUUCUGAGACUACAACAACCAUUUUAAGAAAAGAGGAUGAACCAUGUAUUUUCUGACACUCUAAUCUGAUAGACUAAAUGUGGGAAGGAGGCAUUCAGUUAGUCAAACACUUAAUCCAAGAAGCAAGUUCUACACAAAUUGCUGAUAAAGCUGACAAAUUUCACAGCCUGUUGUGUGGAAAAUAUUACAUUUCAUGGUUCUUCACAGAUGAUGAGAAAUCCUAUUAAAAUCCUGAAAAAUUAUGUAUACAAGUUAAACAUGGAUAUUAAAAUGAUCCAUGUUUUUGGAUGCGGGAUAACAAGUAAAAUGAACAUCCCUUAAGGAUAAUAGCAAGUGUCACAGAGGUUUUAUACAGGGUCCCUGAUAAGAAGUAAUCUUAUUAUAGUCCAGAACCAAUUUCUCUUGCACCACAUAAUGCUCAAAAAUAGUUUAAGUGUUUCUUUCAAUUGCUAGAUAAACUCAGAGAAUAAAUAAGAUGGAGGUCCUAACGGGGAGUGUUUGAACCGCUGCAAGACUAUCAGCCCUUUCAGGUAAGCUGUUUCAUCACUCCAGGUCUUUAAAUCAAGAUGGGCUGUGCCAUGAUUUUGAGGCAGCCGAGCUAUAACUGAGGAGCUUUUUCCAGUUACUGUGGCUGGGUCUACGUACACUGGUAUGAG
This is a long non-coding RNA of Dromaius novaehollandiae (emu), 3550 nucleotides long. RefSeq lists it as uncharacterized. Lineage: Eukaryota; Metazoa; Chordata; Aves; Casuariiformes; Dromaiidae. The transcript has 3 exons. The record is from RefSeq and is a predicted model, not a curated record.